UGCAGAUAAACAUCGAUAAUUAACCAUCUGAACUCUAAUUGUGAAUGUAUAUCGUUAUCAGUGUUGCCUCGACAGUUUUGGGCCUCAAGCAGAAGAAAAAAUUAUGCCUAGUACGACAAUAUGGUAACUUGCGAGCGACGAUGCGAGUCAGUGCUCCGUCCACCACCAUCGAGGCAGGAUGUACGGCGGUGCUCUCCCUCCUCCUCCACCUCCUGAGUAUUCCUGGCGGGCAGCGAUGAGCAAGCAGAAGAGACGCAACGCCUUCUUCUUCUACUUCAUGAUGGCCAAGAAACCCGAAGUAGAGAAGCGGCUCAAGAGAAAGGUGGAUAUGGCCAAGCUGGUGACGGCGGAGUGGCAGGCACUCCCAGAGGAACAGUGGAAGAAAUACCAGCUGAUGACCGGAGAAAGCAGGGAGAGGCUGAAUUGCCGAGGGGUGACGCUGCGCUGCCUUGACGAGGCUGCUCAGGAGAAAAAGCACCAGGCCGAGGAGAUGAAGAGGGACAUUGUCGACUUGGUGGACAUUAUGUGUGUGUGUGUGUGUGUGUGUGUGUGUGUGUGUGUGUGUGUGUGUAUCACAACCUAGUUCAGACCUCACCAAAGCAUGCAUUGUGUUCAAGUGAUCUCAUACAAGCAAGCAUAUUAACCCGGCAGCAGCGACGGGUCAAAUUUGUGCCAUGAUAUAAUUAUACCUCCCAAAAUAGAUGAUGCAUAAACUGAUCACAAAUGCUUUGAUAUAUAUUAUGAAAUGGUUUGUGUGAGGGCUGAUUUUUUCUAAUUUUUCUCGCUCAGAGGGACCAUUAAGAAACAUGAUCCACCACCGCCUGGUUAAUAUGUGCCGCCGACGAUCUGUUCAGCAGGAUGCAGCGUGCUCUGAGGCGACCCCGGGCAGGAGGCAACAUGUGACCUCGUGCGCCAAACCUUUGACCUCUAUUCAGGAGCAGGCUAUGGCUGACUGGCUGAUGCUGUCUGGUCACUCAGCUCAGCAAGGGACUGGAAGCUGGAACUCUCUCUCUCUCUCUCUCUCUCUCUCUCUCUCUCUCUCUCUCUCUCUCUCUCUCUCUCUCUCUCUCUCUCUCUCUCUCUCUCUCUCACACAAAAAAAAAAAAGUAGCGUAAAAGUGUAUAAGGUCCAUUGAAAAGAAGAGAGAGAGAGUGUGUUCCAUCUCAUCCUCUCUCCCUCUCUCUCUAUUCCCCCAACAUCCAGGCGGCAUCUUGGGAGGGGAGGAGAAGAGAAGGGAAGGGAAGAAUACAAUAGCUCACUGGUGGACAGAGGAAAGAGACAAGGAAGAAGAAGAAGAGACUCGUCUCGUCUGGUCUCCCCCAGCAUCCAGGCAGCAUCUUGAAGGCCUGACUGGUUCCUUCGGCUCAGUGGUCUCGUCUCUGUCUCCCUCCCUGCAAGAGUCUGGCAGAGUUUAGUGCCAAGAAUGUGUGUGUGUGUGUGUGUGUG
Eriocheir sinensis (Chinese mitten crab) is the source of this 1446-nucleotide RNA transcript. RefSeq lists it as uncharacterized. NCBI's taxonomy places the organism in Eukaryota, Metazoa, Arthropoda, Malacostraca, Decapoda, Varunidae. The transcript has 4 exons. The record is from RefSeq and is a predicted model, not a curated record.